Molecule: microRNA precursor, 65 nt
Organism: Bison bison bison
Lineage: Eukaryota; Metazoa; Chordata; Mammalia; Artiodactyla; Bovidae
Source: Ensembl
UGGAAGCAGUCUGAGGCUGGAGUCCAGUGAGGAACAGUGGCACUUCUGGUCUCAGACUCAACCCA